CCGUGGCGGAAUGCUUACAAUGCAGUCGCACGGUCAGCAAUGGCAGUGGCGGACGGGUGAGUAACGCGUAGGAAUAUGUCCAGAGGUGGGGGACAACCCCGGGAAACUGGGGCUAAUACCGCAUAUGAGCUGAGGCUCAAAGCAGUGAUGCGCCUUUGGAGUAGCCUGCGUCCGAUUAGCUUGUUGGUGGGGUAAUGGCCUACCAAGGCGACGAUCGGUAGCUGGUCUGAGAGGACGACCAGCCACACUGGGACUGAGACACGGCCCAGACUCCUACGGGAGGCAGCAGUGGGGAAUAUUGGACAAUGGGCGCAAGCCUGAUCCAGCAAUUCCGCGUGGGUGAAGAAGGUCUUCGGAUUGUAAAGCCCUUUCGACGGGGACGAUGAUGACGGUACCCGUAGAAGAAGCCCCGGCUAACUUCGUGCCAGCAGCCGCGGUAAC
Molecule: ribosomal RNA, 441 nt
Filed under: uncultured Roseomonas sp.
Lineage: Bacteria; Pseudomonadati; Pseudomonadota; Alphaproteobacteria; Acetobacterales; Roseomonadaceae
Description: bacterial SSU rRNA
Rfam family: Bacterial small subunit ribosomal RNA
Source: RNAcentral